CUCCUGGGUUCAAGCUAUUCUCCCUCAGCCUCCUGAGUAGCUGGGAUUCCAGGCGCCCACCACCAUGCCUGGCUAAUUUUUGUACUUUUAGUAAGACGGGGUUUUGCGAUGUUGGCCAGGCUGGUCUUGAACUCCUGACCUCAGGGGAUCCACCUGCCUCAGCCUCCCAAAGUGCUGGGAUUACAGGCAUGAGCCACCGCGCGUGGCCCAAAUACUCUUUUUCAAUUCAAAUUCUUUUUUUUUUUUUCUCCCUCUCUCAUUAGGUCCUGGGGGAGAUAAUUUAAAACCACCUACAUGAGAGGGCCUUCAGGAAUAAUUAAAUCAAGCACACACUGUGUGCACCUUUGGCUAUUUUAACCAAAUCUUGAGAGCAUCCUCUCUGACUGGGAAACACACUGCAGCCUACUCAUGAGAAUAUUAUUGUUUAAAUUUCAAUGCUACAGCAAUACUAUCUGGUAAGAUAAUUGUCUCCAGUGGGAUGAAAUAAGGCCAAGAAACCAAAGCUCUCCAGCCUCUUCUAAGUUUGCUUCUGAUGCCUGCCUCUCAUCCUCGCUUCUUCCAGCAGACCCCAAGCUGCCUCCAGCCUCCACUGUGCCAAUAUUCUUAGAGCAGUCUGGUUUGCUGGCAUGUUUUUGCCUCAGUAUUCCAUUUCUCACACCCUCUGAUGGCCAUUUUAUUUUAUUUUUAAGAGGGGAACUAAGAUAGGUGGCCUGAAGUACAGUAGUAACUUCCUUGAAUCACGCUGUCCUGGCUAAUGUCAAUGAGAUAACUAAGGCACAUCCACAGAUCACAUUCUGGGCCUUUAAAAGCACUGCAUACAAACUCAGUAUUUCGUUUAGACAGUUUUCUUAUCUUCUUCAACUGGACCUCUUUGCUGACUCAUGUCAGCUUUGAGCUCAUAUUAGUCUGUGAACUUUACCUGGCUGAAAUUCAGUUUGGCCUGACUUUGCCAUUCUUGAUUCCACUUUUGAUUCAGACUAAAAUAUAAGGUAAGGCUAUGUUCAAUACAAGAACCUUACAAUCUGAUGAACAUGGACUUACUCAAGGAAGAGAUUUAUCUGCCUCAUGUGAGAAGAAGUCUGGGUUGAAGUAGAUUAGGGCUGGAACAGUAGUUCAAGGAUGCUAUCUGGGAACUGAGCAUUUUUUCUUCCUGCUCUACUGCCCUGAGGAUGACUGAUGUACCUCCAGCAUCAAGCUCAAAUUCUAGUCAAGAAGAAAGAAGCAGCAGAAGAAGCCCAGCCAACUUGGGAUUGUUUCAUUCAUCAGAUCUACCAUUGUCUCUGCUAGCUGCAAAAAAGUCUGGGAAGGAAGAAGCAAAGAAGUCUAAGUUCUUUGGAGUAAGAUGCUCUCAAAUGCCUAGGAACACUGAUCUCCUAACUUGUCUUCCUGCUUUGAGUGUCCCUCUGAGGUUAAAGUUCCUGCCUCAGUCUCCAACAAUGAAACAAGAAGAGCACCAGUGAUCUAAGGGACAAUUUCAAGAAGCCAAAUAUAAGUGCAAUUAGAUUCCCCAAUGGAGAAGAGCAAGGAGGGGAAUAAAAAAUAUAUAUUUAAAGAAAUGAAAGUGGAAUUUUUUCAAGUUCAUAAAAACUAUAAAACCUUAGAUUCAAGGCUACCAACGAACCCCAAGCAUAAGAAACAAAGAAAAUUUCAAGGAACAUCAUAACAAAAUUGCUCAAAACCAGAGAUAAAGAGAAGUUUUACAGUUAGCCAGAGGAAAAAAGACACAUUAAGAACAGAGAAACAAAAAUGAAGAUGAUAUCACAUUUCUCUUCGGAAGCAAUAUAAAUGAGAAGUUAUUGUAGCAACAUCUUGAAACUACUGACAGUACAAAACAAAACAAACUCCCAACAUGUCUGUACUUAGCAGGAAUGUCUUUUUUAAAUGAAGGCAAAUAAGACUUUUUCAGACAUACAAAGUCUGAAAGAAUUAAUCUCCAGCAGCCCUGCACUACAAGAAAUGUUAAAGAAAGUCCUGUAAGCAGAAAGAAAAUGAUACAAGAUGGAUCUAUGCAAAGGAAUAAAGAGCAUUAAAAAUGGUUAAUACAUGGGGAUGCAAGGUGCCCAGACUGUGCAAAGCAAUGGCAGCUGCAUGGAGUCCAGAGAGAGCACCUGGAGGCCUGGAAGGCUUCCAAAAGAAAGUGAUACUUCCAAACAAAAGGAACAGGAAGUUGUUGUCUUGUCUGUCUGCCGUUCAAGAGGACUGAAUACGUUCCAUUAAAUUCGCCUGCAAACUUUUCCUGAAGAGCCCAGCAAGCAGCGAUGAAAAUUACAGAGUGGCUCCCAGGCACUUUAGUGGGUAAUCAGCUGAAAUUGAGCUGUUUUCCAUAUUCUUUGCUGAUAAUGCAAAAGGAACCUUUAAAACAAACAGCUCCAAGUCACCACACAUCCUACAAGCUGAAAGGGCCCAUGUGGUCCACACAGAUGCUCCAGCCACACACCAAGCCCUGCUGCAGAGUAAUUGGUUCCCACAGCUAUCAGAGCUAUUACAGCAAAUCAUUGUACAGAUGCUGUACUCUGCAGAGGCGCCAGCACUCUAAUUAUCCUGUGGAAGGAUAAUCAAUGCCAGCUGCCAGCUAAAGGAAUGCAAAAUCUCCACUGAGUAACCAAGAGCCCCUGCUGAGACUGACUGGAAGUGAGUUCAAGGAAAUCUUUUUAAUGUUAAAAAUAAGUUUAGGCCGCGUACAGUGGCUCAUGCCUGUAAUCCUAGCACUUUGGGAGGCCGAGGCAGGCAGAUCACCUGAGGUCGGGAGUUCAAGACCAGCCUGAUCAACAUGGAGAAACCCCGUCUCUACUAAAAAC
This 2798-nucleotide long non-coding RNA is filed under the name Homo sapiens (human). Its description in RNAcentral is "HSALNT0119899". Lineage: Eukaryota; Metazoa; Chordata; Mammalia; Primates; Hominidae. The record is from RNAcentral.